UCUCCUACCUACGAGGCGCUGUCCCGGUGCUGAAACGCGCCGCCGCCGCCGCGGCGCUGUUGGGCUCCUGUUGAUGUUCGCCGAUUAAUGUCAACGAGCCGGGUUUGUUGUUGUUGUUCUUUUGUUUGGUUUUGUUUGGUUUUGUUGUUUGUUUGCUUGUUUGUUUGUUUCUUCAUGGAGGAAUUCCGUUCCACAUCUCUGCUUCUGAUGUCUUCUCAAAGUGUUCAUCAGAGAGUGGUGGUGAAAUUUUGCUGUUCCUGCAUUUCAUCCUUGAAAACAGUUGUUCACAGAUGUGCAUACUGCCAAAAAGCAAUGGCAGGAGAACGUCAUGACUGUGAAGCGGGGGAUCUUGUUCUCUGGCAAGACAGGUGUUUUGCAGUUCUGAUGAAGAGGAAUAUUUCUCUUUGGAGCCUCUUUGGUGCCCAGCCUUGCUUAUCUUGUCUGCCCUUGCCCACCUCUCCUGGGGCUGCCAGGCCUCUGGCUCCAGUCAGAGCUGGCUGCGUUGAGGACAGAGCAGUGCUUCCCCUGUGCUUCCUGCCAGGAGGAGCAGCUCUGCUGCCAUAGGCAGCUCUCCACACGCUGGGGUUACCUGACGGCCUCGUCCCAGGGACGCUGCCUCAACUUGGAAGCAGCCGAAGAACAAAGCUUUUACCGCCUCUUCUUGUCAACGGGACCUUCAGACUGAGCUUCCUUCUUUGCAGCGCUGCCCUGCGCCUUCUUGGCCCUGGAGAAAGCCUCACGGGGCACAGAGAGGCAACAACCUCUUCAAUAAAAGCACAAAGUUAAACCAA
Long non-coding RNA from Lagopus leucura (white-tailed ptarmigan), 791 nucleotides. RefSeq lists it as uncharacterized. NCBI's taxonomy places the organism in Eukaryota, Metazoa, Chordata, Aves, Galliformes, Phasianidae. The record is from RefSeq and is a predicted model, not a curated record. The transcript has 2 exons.